Non-coding RNA from Gossypium raimondii (Peruvian cotton), 106 nucleotides. The record is from Rfam. NCBI's taxonomy places the organism in Eukaryota, Viridiplantae, Streptophyta, Magnoliopsida, Malvales, Malvaceae.
AUCCUAUGAUGGGGGCAAUUCCUUAGCAAUGAUUUAAAACAUUCCCACGCCUCAUAUAGGUUCUCUCCCUCUAUCUGCUUAAAGUUUGCGAUGUCGCGCCUUGGUU